Non-coding RNA from Salmo salar (Atlantic salmon), 942 nucleotides. The record is from RefSeq and is a predicted model, not a curated record. Lineage: Eukaryota; Metazoa; Chordata; Actinopteri; Salmoniformes; Salmonidae.
AGUUUUUGGAGUGAAAGAUGAAGAGGGGGAGAUUACUGUCACAUUAGAGGAGGACGAAGAAGAGAAGACUGGAGAACUGAUUAACACUAGUAAAUACAGAGAGAGACGGGACUAUCGUGGAUCCUCUGUGGAGCCUCAACAACAUCAUGAUGCUGACGAGGCAGAGAGGAGUCUCUCCAGAUCAGAACACCUCAAGAAACACCAGCAGAGACCCACAGGGAAGAGAACUCACUGCUGCUCUGACUGUGGGAAGAGAUUCAACUCUUCAUCAAACCUUAAAAUACAUAAAAGAAUUCACACAGGAGAGAAAUCUUAUAGCUGUGAUCAAUGUGGGAAGAGUUUUACUACAUCUAGCUAUCUAACAAUACACCAGAGAACACACACAGGAGAGAAACCUUACGGCUGUGAUCAAUGUGGGAAGAGAUUUAUUCUGCUACAAACCCUGAAAUCACAUCAGAGAAUACACUCUGGAGAGAAACCUUAUGGCUGUGAUCAAUGUGGGAAGAGUUUUACUCAGCUAAGCAACCGGAUAGUACACCAGCGGGGACACACAGGAGAGAAACCUUUUAGCUGUAGUCAAUGUGGGAAGAGUUUUACUCAGCUAAACAGCCUGAUAGUACACCAACGGACACACACAGGAGAUAAACCUUAUAGCUGUAGUCAAUGUGGGAAGAGUUUUUCUACAUCUAGCUAUCUAACUAUACACCAGAGAACACACACAGGAGAGAAACCUUAUGGCUGUGAUCAAUGUGGGAAGGGUUUUAUUCGGUUACAAACCCUGAAAUCACAUCAGAGAAUACACACAGGAGAGAAACCUGUAAUCAAUGUGGGAAGAGUUUUAAUCAGCUAAACAGCCUGAUAGUACACCAGAGAACACACACAGGAGAGAAAAGAUUUUAAAUGUGAUCAAUGUGGGAAGAGUUUUGGUACAUCUGGAUGUCU